AGGGCUGGAGAUGUCGCUGGGGA
Molecule: microRNA, 23 nt
Filed under: Gadus morhua (Atlantic cod)
Lineage: Eukaryota; Metazoa; Chordata; Actinopteri; Gadiformes; Gadidae
Description: gmo-miR-11233-3p
Source: miRBase by way of RNAcentral